AUAAAUUUUACAAAGGAUAUAUGGAGAUCUGAAAAGAAGGCGAUGGAAAGAAUAUGAAGAAU
RNAcentral lists this small RNA (62 nucleotides) under Arabidopsis thaliana (thale cress). RNAcentral's name for it is "ATSL059540". Lineage: Eukaryota; Viridiplantae; Streptophyta; Magnoliopsida; Brassicales; Brassicaceae. The record is from RNAcentral.